Molecule: ribosomal RNA, 458 nt
Filed under: Capnocytophaga granulosa
Lineage: Bacteria; Pseudomonadati; Bacteroidota; Flavobacteriia; Flavobacteriales; Flavobacteriaceae
Description: bacterial SSU rRNA
Rfam family: Bacterial small subunit ribosomal RNA
Source: RNAcentral
GAUGAACGCUAGCGGCAGGCCUAACACAUGCAAGUCGAGGGAGAAGCCCUUCGGGGCAGAAACCGGCGCACGGGUGCGUAACGCGUAUGCAACCUACCUUUCACAGGGGGAUAGCCCGAAGAAAUUUGGAUUAAUACCCCAUAAUAUUAUUGGGUGGCAUCAUUUGAUAAUUAAAAUUACGAUGGUGAAAGAUGGGCAUGCGUCCUAUUAGCUAGUUGGAGUGGUAACGGCACCCCAAGACUACGAUAGGUAGGGGUCCUGAGAGGGAGAUCCCCCACACUGGUACUGAGACAGGGACCAGACUCCUACGGGAGGCAGCAGUGAGGAAUAUUGGUCAAUGGUCGGAAGACUGAACCAGCCAUGCCGCGUGCAGGAAGAAUGCCUUAUGGGUUGUAAACUGCUUUUAUAUGGGAAGAAUAAGGAGUACGUGUACUUUGAUGACGUACCAUAUGAUAAGC